CGGACGGGUGAGUAACGCGUGGAAAACCUGCCGUAUACUGGGGGAUAACACUUAGAAAUAGGUGCUAAUACCGCAUAAGCGCACAGCUUCGCAUGAAGCGGUGUGAAAAACUCUGGUGGUAUACGAUGGUUCCGCGUCUGAUUAGCUAGUUGGUGGGGUAAUGGCCUACCAAGGCAACGAUCAGUAGCCGGCCUGAGAGGGCGAACGGCCACAUUGGGACUGAGACACGGCCCAAACUCCUACGGGAGGCAGCAG
This 255-nucleotide ribosomal RNA is filed under the name uncultured bacterium. RNAcentral's name for it is "partial 16S ribosomal RNA". It matches the Rfam family "Bacterial small subunit ribosomal RNA", at positions 99 to 354 of the family's 1533-position model. The record is from RNAcentral.